This 370-nucleotide unclassified non-coding RNA is filed under the name soil metagenome. RNAcentral describes it as "partial contains 5.8S ribosomal RNA, internal transcribed spacer 2, and large subunit ribosomal RNA". The stretch from base 1 to 120 matches the Rfam family "5.8S ribosomal RNA", at positions 35 to 154 of the family's 154-position model. The record is from RNAcentral.
GAUGAAGAACGUAGCGAAAUGCGAUAAGUAAUGUGAAUUGCAGAAUUCAGUGAACCAUCGAAUCUUUGAACGCACAUUGCGCCCGGCAGUAAUCUGCCGGGCAUGCCUGUCCGAGCGUCAUUUCUACCCUCGAGCGAGGCCAGCAUCUAGGUGCUGGGCCUCGCCCGGCGUUGGAGCACUACGGGAAGCCCUGUGCUGUCCCCCGUAGGCCCCGAAAUGAAGUGGCGGUCCUGCCGCGGCGCCCCCUGCGUAGUAUAACAGCUCGCUUCGGGUCCCGGUGGAGGCCUGCCGUCAAACCUAUACUCUCUAAGUUUGACCUCGGAUCAGGUAGGGUUACCCGCUGAACUUAAGCAUAUCAAUAAGCGGAGGA